CAAAAGACAAAUUUUCGCGUCGAGUCCCUCCGCUCUCCUUCCGCCUUUUUGACUCGAGGGUCGUGAUCAUUGCCGGCGGGAAGAUCGCGGCCAUCUAGAGAAUUCUGCCAUGUCAAACUAUAAAUUAAUUCAGCGCUCGCUUCGAGUUCAGAUGAGUGAGUGCAGCAUCCGCAGAUUCAUGGAUAUGGAGACUUUCGGAGCAGGCACCCUUCUUCGGCUGCUCGUCGCUUUGCUCGGGAUUUCUUGGAUCAUCUGUUCAACUUAUGCAGUACCGGUUACAAGAACUGAAAGCCUAGUGCAAGAGGCUCGAGUUCAUCAAGUUGUAAGCGAUUUGAUCCCGAGGCCAGUGCAGGGAGGAGUUUCGGGUCUAGAAAGUAUCAGUGGAAGGAUGGGCAUCGAGGUCAACGAUUAUCCGGGAUCGGGGGCCAACAAUCGCCACACGCCGACGCCCCAACUAGGGAGAGGUCCUUGAGGAUGCAUUGAAUGUUGAGUUAAGAUGUCUGAGCUAGUAGGUUUGAACGUAGUUCUCGGAUAUGUAGACACAUUGUUUUACAUCUAAGUGCAGUUGUUAACAUAACGAUGUUUCCUCUCUGUACGUAGCUGUAGAAAUUUAUCUUAGCUCUAAGGGGGAACGAUGGAUCUCUGUUGUGGAGAUAUCCCGUAGAAGUUGGAGAAGGCAUGUCAAGAAAUUUCCCAGUCUUUGAUGUCGUAGGACUAGUGACGUGUUCGUUAAUGUCAAUGAGUUUGCCUG
Long non-coding RNA from Rhodamnia argentea, 751 nucleotides. RefSeq lists it as uncharacterized. The transcript has 3 exons. NCBI's taxonomy places the organism in Eukaryota, Viridiplantae, Streptophyta, Magnoliopsida, Myrtales, Myrtaceae. The record is from RefSeq and is a predicted model, not a curated record.